This is a non-coding RNA of Chrysemys picta bellii (western painted turtle), 601 nucleotides long. The record is from RefSeq and is a predicted model, not a curated record. Lineage: Eukaryota; Metazoa; Chordata; Testudines; Emydidae.
UCCAGUCUGAGGAAAAAACUUACUGAAGCAUCUCUAAGGGUUUUUGCGAGGGUGGAAUAUGUCUUGAUGCAACCUGAACUGCCACUAAAGAAAAUAAUCCAGCUGGACUAGAAGUCUAGAAACAUUAGACUCCAUAUCUUGUGGUAGUGUUGUGAGGCACAAGGUCAAAGAACAAUUUCCUUCAGCUCUCAAGAACUGAAUGAGGUCAGUUUCAGCCCACACAUAGUAUGCCUUUCGUGAGUUUCCCCACACUCCAGAGAGUAAAGAGGGAUGAAUUCUUUGAACAAGGUAAAAACCAUUAGUGCUCCCUAAACUUCUUCAAUAAGCUUUGGAUCUGGCCCCUUCUUGCUAACUAUCUGAUAGCACUGUUGUGAGGAUUAAUCAGAUAAGGGGGAAUUCACCCCUGUUCAGAGGGCUAGAACAAGGGUUACGUACCACUUAGUUUCUUGUGCCGCAGUAGGAUGAAUAUCACUCUUAGAGCAUGGCUACAUUUGUGAGUUAGAGCACAUUAAAGCAGCCCCGUGCGCUCUAACUCACGACUCGUCCACACUGGCAAGGCACAUAGAGUGCCCAGACUCCGCGGCUAGAGCGAUCCAGGUGC